CGUGUGGCAAAUAUUUGCACAAUCGGCAAGCUAGUGCGCAUGCGGGUUAUGAGAUGCCUUCGGUUGUAAGUACUUCAGCGGGAGGAAGUGUUGCGUAUACGGCAGCCAUGACGUACCCGCAGAGAGCACGCCUACUCCGUGCCAGCAGCGCGUAAUACGGAGGGUGCAAGCGUAAUCGGAAUUACUGGGCGUAAAGCGCACGCAGGCGGUCUGUCAAGUCGGAUGUGAAAUCCCCGGGCUCAACCUGGGAACUGCAUUCGAAACUGGCAGGCUAGAGUCUUGUAGAGGGGGGUAGAAUUCCAGGUGUAGCGGUGAAAUGCGUAGAGAUCUGGAGGAAUACCGGUGGCGAAGGCGGCCCCCUGGACAAAGACUGACGCUCAGGUGCGAAAGCGUGGGGAGCAAACAGGAUUAGAUACCCUGGUAGUCCACGCCGUAAACGAUGUCGACUUGGAGGUUGUGCCCUUGAGGCGUGGCUUCCGGAGCUAACGCGUUAAGUCGACCGCCUGGGGAGUACGGCCGCAAGGUUAAAACUCAAAUGAAUUGACGGGGGCCCGCACAAGCGGUGGAGCAUGUGGUUUAAUUCGAUGCAACGCGAAGAACCUUACCUACUCUUGACAUCCAGAGAACUUUCCAGAGAUGGAUUGGUGCCUUCGGGAACUCUGAGACAGGUGCUGCAUGGCUGUCGUCAGCUCGUGUUGUGAAAUGUUGGGUUAAGUCCCGCAACGAGCGCAACCCUUAUCCUUUGUUGCCAGCGGUCCGGCCGGGAACUCAAAGGAGACUGCCAGUGAUAAACUGGAGGAAGGUGGGGAUGACGUCAAGUCAUCAUGGCCCUUACGAGUAGGGCUACACACGUGCUACAAUGGCGCAUACAAAGAGAAGCGAACUCGCGAGAGCAAGCGGACCUCAUAAAGUGCGUCGUAGUCCGGAUUGGAGUCUGCAACUCGACUCCAUGAAGUCGGAAUCGCUAGUAAUCGUAGAUCAGAAUGCUACGGUGAAUACGUUCCCGGGCCUUGUACACACCGCCCGUCACACCAUGGGAGUGGGUUGCAAAAGAAGUAGGUAGCUUAACCUUCGGGAGGGCGCUUACCACUUUGUGAUUCAUGACUGGGGUGAAGUCGUAACAAGGUAACCAAGGGCGAAUCGCGCGCUAUC
This 1152-nucleotide ribosomal RNA is filed under the name uncultured bacterium. Its description in RNAcentral is "bacterial SSU rRNA". It matches the Rfam family "Bacterial small subunit ribosomal RNA", at positions 351 to 1533 of the family's 1533-position model. The record is from RNAcentral.